RNAcentral lists this ribosomal RNA (253 nucleotides) under uncultured bacterium. RNAcentral describes it as "partial 16S ribosomal RNA". It matches the Rfam family "Bacterial small subunit ribosomal RNA", at positions 524 to 776 of the family's 1533-position model. The record is from RNAcentral.
UACGUAGGGUGCGAGCGUUAAUCGGAAUUACUGGGCGUAAAGGGUGCGCAGGCGGCUUCGCAAGUCAGGCGUGAAAUCCCCGAGCUUAACUUGGGAAUUGCGUUUGAAACUACGAGGCUGGAGUGUGGCAGAGGGAGGUGGAAUUCCACGUGUAGCGGUGAAAUGCGUAGAUAUGUGGAGGAACACCGAUGGCGAAGGCAGCCUCCGGGGCCAACACUGACGCUCAUGCACGAAAGCGUGGGGAGCAAACAGG